RNAcentral lists this ribosomal RNA (301 nucleotides) under uncultured bacterium. Its description in RNAcentral is "partial 16S ribosomal RNA". It matches the Rfam family "Bacterial small subunit ribosomal RNA", at positions 509 to 807 of the family's 1533-position model. The record is from RNAcentral.
CAGUAGCCGCGGGAAUACAGAGGGUGCGAGCGUUAAUCGGAAUUACUGGGCGUAAAGCGUGCGCAGGCGGUUUUGUAAGACAGGCGUGAAAUCCCCGGGCUCAACCUGGGAAUGGCGCUUGUGACUGCAAAGCUAGAGUGCGGCAGAGGGGGAUGGAAUUCCGCGUGUAGCAGUGAAAUGCGUAGAUAUGCGGAGGAACACCGAUGGCGAAGGCAAUCCCCUGGGCCUGCACUGACGCUCAUGCACGAAAGCGUGGGGAGCAAACAGGAUUAGAUACCCCGGUAGUCCCUGUCUCUUAUAC